RNAcentral lists this ribosomal RNA (572 nucleotides) under uncultured bacterium. RNAcentral describes it as "partial 16S ribosomal RNA". It matches the Rfam family "Bacterial small subunit ribosomal RNA", at positions 355 to 936 of the family's 1533-position model. The record is from RNAcentral.
UGGGGAAUAUUGCACAAUGGGCGAAAGCCUGAUGCAGCAACGCCGCGUGCGGGAUGACGGCCUUCGGGUUGUAAACCGCUUUCAGCAGGGACGAAGGUUUUCUGACGGUACCUGCAGAAGAAGCACCGGCUAACUACGUGCCAGCAGCCGCGGUGAUACGUAGGGUGCGAGCGUUGUCCGGAAUUAUUGGGCGUAAAGAGCUUGUAGGCGGUCCGUUGCGUCGGAAGUGAAAACUCAGGGGCUUAACCCCUGAGCCUGCUUUCGAUACGGGCGGACUUGAGGGAUGUAGGGGAGAACGGAAUUCCUGGUGGAGCGGUGGAAUGCGCAGAUAUCAGGAGGAACACCAGUGGCGAAGGCGGUUCUCUGGACAUUUCCUGACGCUGAGAAGCGAAAGCGUGGGGAGCAAACAGGCUUAGAUACCCUGGUAGUCCACGCCGUAAACGGUGGGCACUAGGUGUGGGACCCAUUCCACGGGUUCCGUGCCGUAGCUAACGCAUUAAGUGCCCCGCCUGGGGUAGUACGGCCGCAAGGCUAAAACCGUCAAAUUGAAUUGACGGGGUCAUAGCUGUUUU